Molecule: ribosomal RNA, 259 nt
Filed under: uncultured bacterium
Lineage: Bacteria
Description: partial 16S ribosomal RNA
Rfam family: Bacterial small subunit ribosomal RNA
Source: RNAcentral
AACGAACGCUGGCGGCAGGCUUAACACAUGCAAGUCGAGCGGGCUCCUUCGGGGGUCAGCGGCGGACGGGUUAGUAACGCGUGGGAACGUGCCCUCUUCUACGGAACAGCCUCGGGAAACUGAGAUUGAUACCGUAUACGCCCAUUGGGUAACCUUUGGGGAAAGAUUUAUCGGAGGAGGAUCGGCCCGCGUCUGAUUAGGUAGUUGGUGGGGUAACGGCUCACCAAGCCGACGAUCAGUAGCUGGUUUGAGAGGAUGA